GCCAGGCACAUCAGUAAGGUGCCUAUAGUCAAAGCAACUAGGAAAGCUAAGGAAGGAGAAUAGCUUGAGCUCAGGAGUUCUGGGCUGUAGCGUGUAACAGCACUAAGUUCAGCAUCAGUAUGGAGACCUUCCUGGAACUGGGGACCAAAAGGUUGCCUAAAGAGUAGUGAACUGGGUCAGGUUGGAAACUCCCAUGCUGAUUAGUAGUGGUAUCACGUAUAUGAAUAGCCACUGCACUCCAGCCUGAGCAACACAGCAAGACCCUCAUCUCU
Molecule: signal recognition particle RNA, 272 nt
Filed under: Microcebus murinus (gray mouse lemur)
Lineage: Eukaryota; Metazoa; Chordata; Mammalia; Primates; Cheirogaleidae
Description: Metazoan signal recognition particle RNA (ENSMICG00000037263.2)
Rfam family: Metazoan signal recognition particle RNA
About the family: The signal recognition particle (SRP) is a universally conserved ribonucleoprotein. It is involved in the co-translational targeting of proteins to membranes. The eukaryotic SRP consists of a 300-nucleotide 7S RNA and six proteins: SRPs 72, 68, 54, 19, 14, and 9.
Source: Rfam by way of RNAcentral